GAUGAAGAACGCAGCAAAAUGCGAUAAGUAAUGUGAAUUGCAGAAUUCAGUGAAUCAUCGAAUCUUUGAACGCACAUUGCGCCCGCCAGUAUUCUGGCGGGCAUGCCUGUUCGAGCGUCAUUUCAACCCUCAAGCACAGCUUGGUGUUGGGACUCGCGUUAAUUCGCGUUCCUCAAAUUGAUUGGCGGUCACGUCGAGCUUCCAUAGCGUAGUAGUAAAACCCUCGUUACUGGUAAUCGUCGCGGCCACGCCGUUAAACCCCAACUUCUGAAUGUUGACCUCGGAUCAGGUAGGAAUACCCGCUGAACUUAUGCAUAUCAAUAAGCGGAGGA
Molecule: unclassified non-coding RNA, 332 nt
Filed under: soil metagenome
Description: partial contains 5.8S ribosomal RNA, internal transcribed spacer 2, and large subunit ribosomal RNA
Rfam family: 5.8S ribosomal RNA (bases 1-120)
Source: RNAcentral